Molecule: long non-coding RNA, 1928 nt
Organism: Populus trichocarpa (black cottonwood)
Lineage: Eukaryota; Viridiplantae; Streptophyta; Magnoliopsida; Malpighiales; Salicaceae
Exons: 5
Source: RefSeq, a predicted model, not a curated record
GCCCAUAAAUAUAUCCAUGUAGAUAGAUAAGCCCAGUAUUUAGAAUAUGGGCCACAUGCAAACAGCCCGGAUGCCAAUGGCAAAACGUGCAAGAGGACAACAAUUAACAGAACAGUCAGAAACAGUUGAACCAAGCAAGCAGGCAGAGGUAGGAGAGGAAGACAGGAGACCAAACUAUAAACAGACAGAGAAGGAACAGAAAAAUGUUAAGGAACAGUAACAGUGCCAUCAUUAUCUUCUUCUUUUCUCUUAUCUCAAUGUCUCAACGCAGAAUAAACCUUCUCUUCUCCUACAUUCCUUCAAACUUUCUUCCCCAUCCAAAUAUGCCAAUAACAAGAGUAAUAGUAACAAAACAGUCACUAGCAAUUACAAUCCGUCAAGAAGACUAGCUCUCUUUCAGCUUGGAACUGAUAUCCCACAAUCACAGUUCUUAAGUGGAAACUUAGCACCAGCAAGAAGUAGUGAGGUUGCUGAGAAAAAUGUACUAGAGUGGGUUGAGAAUGACAAGAGAAGAACGCAUGCUUCAUGGUGCCUAUAAUGUUGGGGACUUGGACAAGGCUAUAAAAUUUUAUACUGAAUUUCGAGGAAUGAAGUUGUUAAGGAAAAGGGAUGUACCUGAGGACAGAUAUAGUAAUGCUUUUCUUGGAUAUGGACCUGAAGACUCUACUCUUGAACUUACUUAUAGAGAGUUACUAGGGAACCGGGUCCAGUUAAAGGUGGAAUUACAAAAAUCGCAUUUGUUGAAGACCCAAUGGCUACAAGUUUGAGCUCUUGGAAAGAGGCCUGACUCCUGUGCCCUAUGCCAAGUGAUGCUUCGAGUGGGUGAUCUUGAUCGCUCCAUAGACUUUUAUAAGAAGGUUAGAAGUAAUCAAUGCUGUAAGAAGUUGCUUCGUUCAUUGAAAUUAAAGCAGUGGCAUUGCUUCUUCAGAUGCACCAAAUUCAAGUUUUCUACUAACCUGUUCUUAAUCCUUGAUGUUACAAGCUCUUCUCCAUAGAAGCAUUUCCCAUUUUCCUCAAGUAUAUUGCUAGGCAUAAGAUGCCACUCUAAUUAGUUGCUUGUUAUUCUACCUUCUCAUAGCCAUGAUGGGUUAUGGCCCUGAAGAUAAAAAUGCAGGUCUGGAACUGACAUGUAACUAUGGGAUUACAGAAUAAAACAAGGACAAUGGCUACACGCAGGCACAAAUGAUGUCUACAAGAGUGCAGAGGCAGUCAAGCUGUGUGGAGGAAAAAUUGUCCGUGAGCCUGGCCCUAAACCAGUUAUCAACACCAAGAUUACUGCAUCCUUGGAUCCUUAAGGUUGGAGAUCGGUAUGAUUUUUAAUUUUUAUGUUUGUCUUUCCUAAGAAGCAAACUUUGAAGUCAUAAAAAAAGCUUACUUCUAAGCUGUGCUAUAUCACUUUGUUGGAACUCAAGUGUUUGGUCUUUGGUGCAACUUCUCAUGCUAAAGAAGAAAAAAGCAAGAAGCAAGCUGGUGAAGAGAGGGGGAACAGUGGGAUAUUUAAACAUGGGCUUUAAGAGUUACAAAAAUGGAGGCACACAUUCUGUGAUACAAGAAAAGGGGCCCUCAAUAAAGAUAGUGCAUCUUUGUCCUCCUUGCUUUUCAUCUCCACUCUUUUGUGCUUUGAUACGUAAAGAGCUAAAGGCUCGAUUUUCUUGAGAGGCGGGAUUCAUGAUUACUUAGGUUCUCCUUUGUCUCCAUCAUCACUAUCACUGUAUAGAGAGAAAUGGGGCCUUGCUAAGCAAUUGGUAGAAGGAAAAUGCAGCAAGCAUCAUUUGUGAAUAGCACAACUUUCUUAUCUAAUUGUCUGUGCAUCAUGAAACGCUUCAGCAUCAUGUAAAACAUGCAUAUCCAAGACUUGAAGAUAACAAUCUUAACUCAUUGUGCAAGUAUAAUUGCAUAGAAAUUGGAGUAUAGGAGGAAAUUUAUCU